Schizosaccharomyces pombe (fission yeast) is the source of this 243-nucleotide non-coding RNA. The record is from the annotation of a GenBank genome assembly. Lineage: Eukaryota; Fungi; Ascomycota; Schizosaccharomycetes; Schizosaccharomycetales; Schizosaccharomycetaceae.
UCUUUAACAUAUAUUUUUAACUACAAAUGAGCUUAAAAACGUCGGAAAUUCUGAAUUAGCGUCGGUGGUCUGUCUCCGAGUACAUAUGAAAAGGUAUAAAUUUAAAAAUUUGCAUACCCAUUGACCUUUCUUUGUCGAAUCAUUAGAAGGCUGAUACUGACUUCUCGAAACCAUAUAAACAUCGUAGUCACGACUGUUCUACUCAGUGAAACACGGUAUUUGAAAGUAAUGAAAAAGAUUUUU